AACCUUUACUAUAGCUUGACACUGAACCUUGAGCCUUGAUGUGUAGGAUAGGUGGGAGGCUUUGAAGCGUGGACGCCAGUCUGCGUGGAGCCAACCUUGAAAUACCACCCUUUAAUGUUUGAUGUUCUAACGUGGACCCGUAAUCCGGGUUGCGGACAGUGUCUGGUGGGUAGUUUGACUGGGGCGGUCUCCUCCCAAAGCGUAACGGAGGAGCACGAAGGUUAGCUAAUCCUGGUCGGACAUCAGGAGGUUAGUGCAAAGGCAUAAGCUAGCUUGACUGCGAGAGUGACAGCUCGAGCAGGUGCGAAAGCAGGUCUUAGUGAUCCGGUGGUUCUGAAUGGAAGGGCCAUCGCUCAACGGAUAAAAGGUACUCCGGGGAUAACAGGCUGAUACCGCCCAAGAGUUCAUAUCGACGGCGGUGUUUGGCACCUCGAUGUCGGCUCAUCACAUCCUGGGGCUGAAGUAGGUCCCAAGGGUAUGGCUGUUCGCCAUUUAAAGUGGUACGCGAGCUGGGUUUAGAACGUCGUGAGACAGUUCGGUCCCUAUCUGCCGUGGGCGUUGGAAGAUUGAGAGGGGUUGCUCCUAGUACGAGAGGACCGGAGUGAACGCACCACUGGUGUACGGGUUGUGAUGCCAAUUGCAUUGCCCGGUAGCUAAGUGCGGAAGAGAUAACCGCUGAAAGCAUCUAAGCGGGAAACUUGCCUCGAGAUGAGUCUUCCCUGGACACUUGAUGUCCCUGAAGGGCCGUUGAAGACGACGACGUAGAUAGGCUGGGUGUGUAAGCGUAGCGAUACGUUGAGCUAACCAGUACUAAUGACCCGAGAGGCUUAACCUUACAACACCGAAGGUGUUU
This 853-nucleotide ribosomal RNA is filed under the name Pectobacterium brasiliense. RNAcentral describes it as "bacterial LSU rRNA". It matches the Rfam family "Bacterial large subunit ribosomal RNA", at positions 2096 to 2925 of the family's 2925-position model. Lineage: Bacteria; Pseudomonadati; Pseudomonadota; Gammaproteobacteria; Enterobacterales; Pectobacteriaceae. The record is from RNAcentral.